RNAcentral lists this ribosomal RNA (553 nucleotides) under uncultured bacterium. RNAcentral describes it as "bacterial SSU rRNA". It matches the Rfam family "Bacterial small subunit ribosomal RNA", at positions 777 to 1328 of the family's 1533-position model. The record is from RNAcentral.
AAUAGAUACCCGGGUAGUCCACGCCGUAAACGAUGAGUGCUAAGUGUUAGGGGGUUUCCGCCCCUUAGUGCUGCAGCUAACGCAUUAAGCACUCCGCCUGGGGAGUACGGUCGCAAGACUGAAACUCAAAGGAAUUGACGGGGGCCCGCACAAGCGGUGGAGCAUGUGGUUUAAUUCGAAGCAACGCGAAGAACCUUACCAGGUCUUGACAUCCCAUUGACCACUAUGGAGACAUAGUUUUCCCUUCGGGGACAACGGUGACAGGUGGUGCAUGGUUGUCGUCAGCUCGUGUCGUGAGAUGUUGGGUUAAGUCCCGCAACGAGCGCAACCCUUGUUCUUAGUUGCCAUCAUUUAGUUGGGCACUCUAAGGAGACUGCCGGUGACAAACCGGAGGAAGGUGGGGAUGACGUCAAAUCAUCAUGCCCCUUAUGACCUGGGCUACACACGUGCUACAAUGGACGGUACAAACGGUUGCCAACCCGCGAGGGGGAGCUAAUCCGAUAAAACCGUUCUCAGUUCGGAUUGUAGGCUGCAACUCGCCUACAUGAAGACC